AUUAUGUUGACACUUCAGCUCCUUAUUGAUUCUCUACAAUAUACCAAAAUAAUUUAUUAUAAAUCGAAAAGAGAACCAAAGAAAAUUGGGUUAAAGUGUGGUAUUAAGUUUACUUAUGUAGUUGUUCAUAACUCAUUGGAGUAAAUCUCCUCAGGGUUUGUCCCCCUUGAUUACACAAUAGUUGGUAUCAAAGUUGAAUGAUCUUGUGGCCCAGUGUUUACCCCCCUCGGUUACAAGUCUUCUUGGCGGUGGGUCCUGAUGGCAUGUCUUGUGGGUGGAGCAGGGGUACAAGUAUCUAGAAUAUGUGGGCUCUAAUGACCACCAUGGAAUACUCAUGGAUGAUAAUGGUUAUCACUCGGGGGGAGGAGGAGACUACCAUGUGAAAGAAACUCACACUUAAGGAAGAGAUUGUUGGACUACAAGUGUGAGGUGAAGUCUCACAUCGUAUAGGAAUGAGAAGGUUGAAUACCAUAUAAGUGAAAGUAAUACCUAUAAACCUGAGUCUUAAGGUUGUAGGUUAAAGUGUGGUAUCAAGUUCACUUAUGUGGUUAUUCAUGACUCAUUGGUGUAAAUCUCUCCAGUGUUUAUCUCCCUCGGUUGCACAACAAAUUUCUUCUCUUAGACAAGGAAGCUUUUGGAAAAGAAUGUUAGGAAUGUGCCAAUAAGUAAACUUCUAUCCCCAUUACCAAUUUUCCAAGAUUUAAUGCCACUCCAAAUGAAGGAACUAAUGUUAUAAAGCAUAUGUUUGGAAUUACGAAACACCCUAGCCCUCAAACAACAAAACCCAAUCCUAUUGAGUUCCAACCCAACUUAAGAAGAGAAGCAUCAUUAAUUACUUAGGGAACAAAACCCCAAACCACCUUCAGGACUACAAAUCGUAUGCCAUGGAAUUGUAACUAUUUUUUUGGUAUCAACAUCCCCAGACGAUAUGAAGUUCCUCAUCCUCUCAAUAGACUUCAUCAAAGAAAUAGGCCAAGAGUAAAUAAGCAUACUAUAAAGGACACUCUACACCAAAAGCAUUUUUCCCAUAAUAGAGAGAUGAACCUUUUUUCAUCUGGCCAUUUUCAGACGAAUUUUGUGAUCAGCAAUGGGUUGCAAAUGAAUAACUCUUGGUUUCCCCUUAAAUAAGGGAAUACCCAAGUAAGUGAAAGGAGUAGCUCCUGAAGAGAAACCACGAAUAUCAGCAAUGAGGCUCUUCAUGUGUUCUGAAAUCCCACCAGUGUAGCAUUUGGAUUUAGCAAGAUUAACAAGCUGGCUGGAUUCCUGACCAAAAAAAGAAAUAAACUUUUUAAGAUUCUGAAAUUUUCAAGGGAUCCCCUGCAGAAAAUUAAAACAUCAUUGGCAUAAAGCGCAUGGGAGGGCAUGGAAAAGUUUCUUGGGCCAUCCAUUAAAUAAAGAUUACCAUAAUUCACCAAUUUACUAAUCCCCCUCCUUAAAAAUUCUUGCCUAACUCCUUUUUUGCAAUUGAAGAAGCCAACAACCUUACCAUUCACUAGAAUAGACAACUUAGUCGAAUGUAGAAGAACACUAAUCCAAUCACAGAACUUGGCAUGAAAUCCAAACUGGCUAAGAACCUUGAGAAGAAACUUCCAGUCAAGCAUAUCAAACACUUUUUUGAUAUCCACCUUAAUAGCCAUGUUGCUUGCAAAAGUUUUCUUGUCUAACAAAUGAAUGGAUUUUAACAAACGAAUUUCGAAUGAAAUUGACUUUUUUACUGUCCCUUUUCAAGCUAUCCUCGUGUUAUUCCUUUAAAACGAUACUGUUUUCAUGAUUUUCAUGGAGUGAGUUCACAAUUAAAUAUUAACACAAUUUGAUUUCUUUUUUGUUUUGAAUGAACAAUACAGGAACAAUAGAUAGCCAAAUCCAUUUCGAAUAAACUUUUCAACGAAUUUCUAUAAACAUAAAUGGUCAUUUAUGGCAACAUUUGUCAAGAGUACGGUCACAUUCAAUUUCUUGUUUAAAUAACUGAGAUUUUCUAUAUGUGUGUUGUCGACAUGAAAGAAAAUUAAUACUCCAUAUUUUAGUGGCCUCGUAACAAAAUUAUCAAGUAAUGUAAUGAGCCUAAGUACAGAUAAAUAGAAUAUAUUUAAUCACCUUAAAAAACUGUUUUCAGAGCUCCAACCUAGAGCCCUGCUGAUACCUUCUUCACUAUGCAGGAACUAUGAGCAACAAUGACCUUUCACAGAUUCCCUCAAGUCCAUAUUACAUCCACCCUAGUGAGAGUCCUUCAUCCAUUAUUGUUACACCAUCUUUGACUAGAAAUAAUUACCAAUCUUGGUCAUGAUCAGUUAAAAUGAUCCUUAUUCAAAGAACAAAAUGGGUUACCUUACCAGCGCUAUAUCGAUUCCAACUUCCACAGAUCCUUCACACCCCUUGUAGGAACGUUGCAAUACCUAAAUCAUGUCCUAGAUCUUAAAUUUCCAGUCACCAUCCAUUGCUCAAAUUGUUAUAUAUUUUGACCAUGCUACAAACAUUUGGAAUGAUUUGAAGGAGUGUUUUUCACAAGGGGAUUUAUUGCAAAUUGCAGAGCUUCAAAGAAGAGAUAUACAGACUCAAGCAAGGGGUCGCACACAGUUUUGGAUUUUUUCACUAAAGCUCAAAUUUGUUNNNNNNNNNNNNNNNNNNNNNNNNNNNNNNNNNNNNNNNNNNNNNNNNNNNNNNNNNNNNNNNNNNNNNNNNNNNNNNNNNNNNNNNNNNNNNNNNNNNNUGAACCCUUGCACUUGUCCGAGCAGAACUUACCAUCAACAGGAUUUUGUCAUUCACUUUCUCAAAGGGCUGGAUGAACGAUUUUCUGUUGUGUGCUCUGAAGUCCUGCUUAUGGAUCAUUUACCAUCAACCAAGAGAAUCUUUUCCAUGGUGAUUCAACACGAAACUCAACAUGCUAGCCACACCUCUGCAGAAGACCAGAAUAGAUUCAUCAAUGUUGCUGAAAAACGAUCCUUCUUUAAAAGUUGUGGGAACCCUU
RNAcentral lists this long non-coding RNA (2965 nucleotides) under Glycine max (soybean). Its description in RNAcentral is "long non-coding RNA (GMAX_LNC002901)". Lineage: Eukaryota; Viridiplantae; Streptophyta; Magnoliopsida; Fabales; Fabaceae. The record is from RNAcentral.